Molecule: long non-coding RNA, 800 nt
Organism: Gallus gallus (chicken)
Lineage: Eukaryota; Metazoa; Chordata; Aves; Galliformes; Phasianidae
Source: Ensembl
GCUUGUCACAUAAUGUUUUCUUUUUUCUCUUCAGGUUUUACUUUUAAACAAACCGAACUAAACACUAAUUUGAAGUGGGGAGACGUAAAUACUUCUGUAGUUAUUACCACCAGACACAGUGUUAAAUUCUGUUUUUCUUUGCUCCUGGAAGGAGGGUAGUCUGUUCAGAUGACUCACCUCCCAUGGAAAGAUGAUGUACCAAGGAACCUCAGGCCAGGCUGUUUGUUAGUAUUGUACUGCAAGGCACAGUGGAGAUGUGUUCUGCCAAAGACUGAAGAAGAGGCAGUCCUUCGGAGAGACAAGGAAUACUAAGCAGCAGAGUCCAUUUAAAUGAAAGGCAUUUUAUUGCGAGAACAAAUGAUUUUUCUAGAAACUUAAAACAAUAUAAACAGAAUAGGGGGAAAAGAAAACUAACUCUGAAGAAAAGAAUAGAGGGGGCAUUUCAUCAGUGUGAAGGCCUAUGUAAUGGAAGAAAAGUUAGCCUGCAUCCUGGACAUAUGGGAGAUAAGAAUGUAUGGAAGCAAAAAGAAGGAUGUUAUGCCUGCAGACAAUACGGACCUCAGUAAGUCCAGACUCACAGGAUCUUUGAAAGACGGAAGAGGUCGGCUUGUCAGGGUAUAAACGCAGAGGAUGCUACUCCUGGAGGACAAAUAUGGGUUAAGUUCUGAAAGAAGCCCAGCCUGAACCUCUGAUUGACCACCUGAGGCGAGCACUCCUGUCAGUCAGUCGUGGGAGCACAGGUGAAGGCAAUUCAGCUGUGUGACUGGAAGUGGUGGAGCCAGGCUGCACCUCUCUUAGAC